AUACUCUAGUUUCCCUUCAAAUCGUACAAAUCUUUCGCCUUUUACUAAAGAUUUCCGUGGAGAGAAACAGUUAUGAGCCUUUAAAAAAUUUUUUGAGGCCUCGUGUUUCGCGAGGCU
Macaca fascicularis (crab-eating macaque) is the source of this 117-nucleotide small nuclear RNA. Its record names the gene U5. It matches the Rfam family "U5 spliceosomal RNA". Rfam says of the family: U5 RNA is a component of both types of known spliceosome. The precise function of this molecule is unknown, though it is known that the 5' loop is required for splice site selection and p220 binding, and that both the 3' stem-loop and the Sm site are important for Sm protein binding and cap methylation. NCBI's taxonomy places the organism in Eukaryota, Metazoa, Chordata, Mammalia, Primates, Cercopithecidae. The record is from Ensembl.